GUCUAUGGCCAUACCACUCCGAAUGUACUCAAUCUUAUCUGAUCUAGGAAGCUAAGCAGGGUCAGACUUGUUAUGGGAGACCACCUGGUGGUAGUGGGUGCUGUGUACG
Ribosomal RNA from Macaca nemestrina (pig-tailed macaque), 109 nucleotides. The record is from Ensembl. NCBI's taxonomy places the organism in Eukaryota, Metazoa, Chordata, Mammalia, Primates, Cercopithecidae.